Long non-coding RNA from Hippocampus zosterae (dwarf seahorse), 3772 nucleotides. RefSeq lists it as uncharacterized. The transcript has 4 exons. The record is from RefSeq and is a predicted model, not a curated record. Lineage: Eukaryota; Metazoa; Chordata; Actinopteri; Syngnathiformes; Syngnathidae.
GGACGCUCCGCACCAUAAGGCAUCCUGUCCAUUUUGGAGAAAAUUUAAGACUUUUAAUGGCGCCUUAUAGUCGUGAAAAUACGGUAUAGAAAGACUCUCCAUAAUGUACAAUUGUGCAGUAGUACCACCCAAUGACAUCUGCGCGAUAAUGUGGACAGUCAUCAAGCAGAGAUAAAGUGAUCAGUGGUGCGGUACUUCUCAUACAAUGACGGUUGUGCAGUUGAUGUAGAAAAUCGUUGCACAAUUUUUUAAGUGACCUGUGGCAUUAAUUCUAGUUCAACGUUGGUUGUGCAGAAAAGUACUUGAGCGCUUUAAAGCAGCUGUCCCCAACUUUUUUUGCCCCACGUACCAAUUUAUUGUCAGACAAUAUUGUCAGGGAUCUGCCUUUAAGGUGUGGAUAAAUACAACAAAAUAAUAUGAUGUGACCUGUAUGAAAACAAAGGUGUUUUCUAAACACAAUAAAAAACCACGAACCAUAGUCCGAGGAACGUCAUAUCUGUCCGCAACACUCUCUGGUCCCUAUGGUAAUGUUUAAACGUGCCUUCAAAAUAAGAAACUCCGCAUAUACUCUACAAAGUGCAUGAAAAAUACAACUCACCAUCGCCCCACAUUAUGCAGAGUGGCCUUGGUGCAUGGGAAUCUCACGUUGAGAUAAAUCCGUAUGUUAAGUAGGACUCCUGAUAAUGUACAUAAAAUGCAGCCCUCUUUUUCUUGAAAGUCGUAGGCUCCUCUUCUGUCUCCUGGCCUUUUCCCCUUCUCAAAGAAAUUUCCAAAGACCAUUGUUUUUUUUACUCAUUUUGCUCGCUCCUGGGUUUCUUUUUAGCAGUAACCAGGUGGCCGAGAAGCUCACCUUAACCUGCGUCACGUGUAACAUACUUUAGACGGAUUUCACAGAAAAUCCAGUAUUUUUUCAAAAUUAAACAUCUUUCAGAUUCUGAAAUUAAUAAAACGGGAGUAAUGUUUCUCAUUUAUUCUUUCUCUGUGGCCCGGUAAUAAAUGACCCAUGGACCAGUACCGGUACAUGGCCAGGGGUUUGGUGACCGCUGCGUUAAAGUGUCUAGUGCUGUGGAAUAUUGAUCAACGACAAUGAUCACUACGGUCAUACUGUCCUUCAAGGGUGUGCAAAAAUGAAAAGAUGCAAAGUGCCACUAUAGAAUUUGAGUCAAUUGUUUCGAGAGUUAAUGGCGAUAUAGAAGAAGCAAUUUGAAUGUCUGCUGGUUUUGGUGUGCAUGGUUCAGUAGUUCAUCAGUAAGCUUUGCAGAAGCCCGAUAAUGGUCCUCAUCAUUUGAAUCAGAUGUAUUGGAGGAGGGACACAUCUAAAACAGACUGAAUAGGGAUCUCAAGGACCAGAGUUGGGCAUCCGAUCAGGUCAGGACAAAUUGUCCUUUAAAAUGAUAGGCACAACAAAGUUUUUCAGAAAUAUAAAAUCACAGUCAUGAUAUUUCCACGCUUAAAGGACAAUUAUCCAGAUAGACAUUAAAGACCAAGUGUGAAGUAAAGUUGGCCAACCAUGUUUUUGAGUAAUAUCAAUGACUGAACAAUUAUAAGUAUAUUUCCGUUAUUUUUUUUUAACGCAAUCCUUCCAGAUUCUUUGUUUAACCCGUAGCAACGCCCUUGACAACAAAAAUGCUUUUCUUCGGCAAUCUUCGGAAAUAACGAUACAUAGAGAGAUGCGAGGGAAGUCCUUCCAUUGAACAGCAUUGUUGCAUUGCUUGUUGGUAAGAUGCCACUGCGGUGUGUGGCGAUGUGUUGUUCGCAAUUGACAGAAAAGUUGUGCCAGUGGCCAAAGGAUAGCAGGGCACUUAAAUGGGCAUCUUUUAUUCGCACGAAGCGAAUGAAUUUCACGCUAUCAUCGACGAGUGUUCUCUGCCAUCUCCACUUCAAAGAUGACUGCUUUCUCAACCGGUCUGCUUAUGAUCAAGGAUUUGCAAAAAAAGUAGCGAGACUGGGGGAAUGGAGCUGGAGGGCCUGAAAAGAUGCCGUUCGGAGUUGGAAGGCUUCAAUGCAAAAGUUGUCGUUACCAACAGGCAUCGCCAGCGCCAGUUGGGGAAAUGGAUCAGGGAGAAUUGGACCCAAGUCAUCCAUUAUUAUGAUUCUUGGCACAUUGUUAAAGGUAUGUGCAAGAAACUGGACUCCUUGGCCAAAAAGAAGAGCAUGUCGAUCCUGAAGGAUUGGGUACAAAGUUUGAAGUGCCAUUUGUACUGGUGUGCACUUUCCUCCCAGCACCGGAGGAAAAGAAGCAGAAGUGGCUGGCAUGUGUGGACCACCUGCAGAACGUGCACGAUAGUUGUUUAAAUCCUCCAAUUACUAGAGAAAAGGCAUGGCUAUUACCAGGUUUUGGGUUUUUUGUUAGAUUUUGCCUGCUAGUUAACCCUAAAAAAUAGAAAUAUUGUCAUACCUACCAAAGUAAAUGUCGCAGUGGUGGAACUCCUGACAAAGACCAUGUUUGUCAACAAUGUCAUGAAGAUGUCUCACAUCGGACAGACCAGUGGCGUGGAAGCUUUUCACAGUGUACUGAAUCACCUUGCCCCAAAGAUGUACCACUUCUCGUACAAUGGAAUGAAAAGCAGAAUAAUUCUUGCUGCUAUGCAAUAUAAUAAAAAUGCUGGCAGAUGACAGAAAGUGACAAAGGAAGGAAUACACUCCUACUGUAUAUUUAUCCCAAAUAUACUAGUGGUGGGUAUUCUCUGAGAAAGAUACUGGUGGAUGCAACUUAUGAUAAGUUAUGAAAUAAAAAGUAAUUCCAGACAGAUGCAUUACAUACUGAGUAUGUCAUCUACCCAUAUGUCGUCUAAAUAUUUAUCAUCCCAAUAUGUUUUUUUUGUUUUUUUGUAGACUAUGUGAAUGACUGACUGUCAGAGGUGAUGAAACUGACUGCCAUUCAAAAUAAGUACAGAACUGGUGAUGUGUGUGUCGACCCGCAAUUUCUGACAACAGCACUGAACAGACCAGACCGGACAAGUCAACCUUUAUUGCCGAGCACCAGACUAGAUUGCAAAAGAAAUUAAAAAAAUUACAUUCCUUGUAUUCAAUUGUCUUCAUUUGUUUAUUUUUAUUCCAGUAUUUUGUUAUGAGAGACGACAUGUCCACAUUAACCACUCUAAAAACAGUCCAAAUCACAGUUCUGGAACAUUUCUCUGUGAAACACUAGAAACCCUUUAAAUACAGCUGACUCUUGUCCUGGUGGUGGAAAAUGUGCCCUGACACAAGACACGGUGCAUGCUGGGAGCACAACACAGUUGUCCUGACCAAGAAACUUCUAGCAUGUUUGUUGUUGUUUUUUUUUUUCUCUUCUUCUUUCUACAUACAUUCUUGCUGCUGGAGGCUGUAAAUUUCCCCAUUGUGGGACAAAUAAAGGAUAUCUUAUCUUAUCUUAUCUUGUGUCCUUGUUUAUGAUUAUACUAAUGCAGCGUGUUAUACCAGAGACAAAUUCCUUGUGUCUUCUACAUACUUGGCCAACAAAGACGAUUUUGAUUCUAUACCCAUCAAUCAAAAAUUCCGUUGUUUAUGAAAACAUUUGAAAUAAUCCAAGUAUAUGGAUGGAAUACUGUACAAAUUUUUAAAAAUUCAUUCCAAAAAUCUCUCAAGUACAAGUCAAAAAAUUAUUUGAUAAAAUGAAUGCUCAAGUACCGAGUAGGCUAACUGCUUGAACAUGAAGUCUGAUUUUUCUUUUUUAAACAAUGUCAUCAGAUAGACAAAAACAUAAAAUUAUGUGCACAUGCCUGGAUCUUCAAAUCAUAAAAGUAAUACCAGCCUAUAUUUUACCAAUCUU